Molecule: long non-coding RNA, 373 nt
Organism: Daphnia pulicaria
Lineage: Eukaryota; Metazoa; Arthropoda; Branchiopoda; Diplostraca; Daphniidae
Exons: 4
Source: RefSeq, a predicted model, not a curated record
UCAGCCUGUAGUGUACAAUCGAGGUGAGUGCCUGCCUUCCUCACUUGCGGCCCAUGACUGGCAUCAGGAAUUUAAUUGUCAGCCUGUAGUGUAUUAUCGAAAGGACUGCAUUUCCUUCUUCGAGCCCAUGACUGGCCUCAGGAUUAUCAUAGUCAGCCUGUAGUUUACAAUCGAAUUGAGUGCCUUCCUCACUUUCGACCUACGACUGGCAUCAGGAAUUUAAUUGUCAGCCUGUAGUGUUCCGUCGAAGUUACUCCGUUUCUCGCUUCCAGCCAACGACCGGCAUCAGGACUUUAAUUGUCAGGUAAAUUGUUUUUAUUGUACCUUUUUUCCAUUAGAACAUGUUUAUAGCACGUUUUAUUACCUGCUAUAA